GAUGAACGCUAGCUACAGGCUUAACACAUGCAAGUCGAGGGGCAGCAGGGAUUUAGCUUGCUAAAUCCGCUGGCGACCGGCGCACGGGUGCGUAACGCGUAUCCAACUUUCCCGUUACUCAGGGAUAGCCUUCCGAAAGGGAGAUUAAUACCUGAUGGUGUUUGAAAUUCGCAUGUUCUUCAAACUAAAGAUUUAUCGGUAACGGAUAGGGAUGCGUGACAUUAGAUAGUAGGCGGGGUAACGGCCCACCUAGUCUACGAUGUCUAGGGGUUCUGAGAGGAAGGUCCCCCACACUGGAACUGAGACACGGUCCAGACUCCUACGGGAGGCAGCAGUGAGGAAUAUUGGUCAAUGGUCGGAAGACUGAACCAGCCAAGUAGCGUGAAGGAUGAAGGUUCUAUGGAUUGUAAACUUCUUUUGUCUGAGGGUAAAAAAGCGGACGUGUCCGUUCUUGCAAGUAUCAGACGAAUAAGCAUCGGCUAACUCCGUG
This 490-nucleotide ribosomal RNA is filed under the name uncultured bacterium. RNAcentral's name for it is "bacterial SSU rRNA". It matches the Rfam family "Bacterial small subunit ribosomal RNA", at positions 28 to 507 of the family's 1533-position model. The record is from RNAcentral.